UUCUGUGAAGCAGGUGUUGGUUAAACACCACAUCCAAAGAGGCCCAUCCCCACACUCAUCUUCCUGCUAAGCCUAGCCUGUGUGAGAGGGAGCUGGAGGCUGCCCCUGUGCAGAUGGACCCUCUCUCUUAGCCACUUUCCCUCUCUGGGCCCCAGGCUCCUUAUCUGUGAAAGGAGAGAGUUGGACCAGCUGGUCUCUGAGGCACCAUCUGUGGAUAGCUCAUGAUCGUCUGUCUUGUUCUAGAUAUGCCCCCUGACUUAGGUCGGGUUCCCUGAGAAAUAGACUCCGAGGUGGAGAUUUCAUGCAGCAAGAUUUGUAGGGAGUGCCCUUGGUAUCAACACCUGGAGGAAGUGAAGGAAGCAAAGGGAGCAGAAAGAGAAGUUGUGCUGCAAUGCGGUUGCAACCAAGGCCUCAGCCAGUCCCAUGGGGUGCUCUGCAGAUGGUCCUGCAGAAUUGCUCUGCCUUGAGGCAAGAGGGCCAGGCCUUUGAAAGCAUCUCCCCUUUAGCCAACUAACCAGGCAUUGGAGGUGGCUGCCCUCAGGUUUGGGGUGUAUCCUUGAGCCAAGUGGCUCUGUGGCUGAGGAUAAUUCUAGAGAGUGACUUGGGAAUGAGUGCCUCAGUCCUGAAGGGGGAUCUGGGCAGCAUACUGUAGCCUUCAACACAUCCCUCCUCCUCCUUUCCCUCUAAAUACCCCAGCCUGAGUUACAUCCCUUUCUGUGUUAGAAAAUCUAGCCCAGAUUUCUGUACUUCUGACUGUCAGCUGCUUCCAGGUUGGACCAGGGUCUGAGCAGCAUUAGGACUUGCCUCUCUGCUGCCUCCCUUCUUUGGUUUGCCUGGGACCUGUGCUGUGCCAGAGAAGGUGGAGGUUGGGGUGAGUUGCUCAGCAGGGCCCUGGAAGGCAGGAAACGUCUUGUGUUCCGCAAACAUGGCUGAGUACCAGCUGUGUGCAGGGUACUGGGCACAGUGCUACUGUGAGAGGCUCAGGACCCAGAUUAGGAAGAUAUCUGGCUGAAGGGAGUUUGUAUGUGACCUGACUCUUCUGCAGUUCUGUGCCUCAAUAUCUCCUUCUUGGGGCAAUGAUAGGGCAUCCUUAAGAACCACAGCCACUUCCCUGGGAUGUGGAUCCUCCUACAUGAUGGCUGCAGUUCCCCAAGCUUGGACAGUGCAUAAUUUUAAGAAGGAUCUGGCUCUCUCCUCCCGCCGCCCAAGAUGCCGAAAGGAAAGAAGGCCAAGGGAAAGAAGGUGGCUCCGGCCCCUGCUGUCGUGAAAAAGCAGGAGGCCAAGAAAGUGGUGAAUCCCCUGUUUGAGAAAAGGCCUAAGAAUUUUGGCACUGGACAGGACAUCCAGCCCAAAAGAGACCUCACCCGCUUUAUGAAAUGGUCUCGCUCUAUCAGGUUGCAGCGGCAGAGAGCCAUCCUCUAUAAGCGGCUGAAAGUGCCUCCUGCCAUUAACCAGUUCACCCAGGCCCUGGACCGCCCAACAGCUACUCAGCUGCUUAAGCUGGCCCACAAGUACAGACCAGAGACAAAGCAAGAGAAGAAGCAGAGGCCAUUGGCCCGGGCCGAGAAGAAAGCUGCUGGCAAAGGGGACGUCCCCACUAAGAGACCACCUGUCCUUCGAGCAGGAGUUAACACCGUCACCACCUUGGUGGAGAACAAGAAAGCUCCGCUGGUGGUGAUUGCACACGACGUGGAUCCCAUCGAGCUGGUUGUCUUCUUGCCUGCCCUGUGUCGUGAAAUGGGGGUCCCUUACUGCAUUAUCAAGGGGAAGGCAAGACUGGGCCGUCUAGUCCACAGGAAGACCUGCACCACUGCCACCUUCACACAGGUGAACUCGGAAGAAAAAGGUGCUUUGGCUAAGCUGGUGGAAGCUAUCAGUACCAAUGACAAUGACAGAUGCGAUGAGAUCUGCCGUCACUGGGGCGGCAAUGUCCUGGGUCCCAAGUCUAUGGCUCGUAUCGCCAAGCUCGAAAAGGCAAAGGCUAAAGAACUUGCCACUAAACUGGGUUAAAUGUACACUGUUGAGUUUUCUGUACAUAAAAAUAAUUAAAAUACA
Non-coding RNA from Macaca mulatta (Rhesus monkey), 2055 nucleotides. NCBI's taxonomy places the organism in Eukaryota, Metazoa, Chordata, Mammalia, Primates, Cercopithecidae. The record is from RefSeq and is a predicted model, not a curated record.